UACGGAGGGUGCAAGCGUUAAUCGGAAUUACUGGGCGUAAAGCGCGUGUAGGCGGCUCGGAUAGUUGGAUGUGAAAGCUCCUGGCUUAACUGGGAGAGGUCGUUCAAUACUUCCGGGCUCGAGAGUGGUAGAGGGAGGUGGAAUUCCGAGUGUAGUGGUGAAAUGCGUAGAUAUUCGGAGGAACACCAGUGGCGAAAGCGGCCUCCUGGACCAUUUCUGACGCUCAGACGCGAAAGCUAGGGUAGCAAACGGGAUUAGAGACCCCGGUAGUCCUAGCUGUAAACGAGGUAGACUUGGCGUCGGCGGGUUCAAAUCCGUCGGUGCCGCAGCUAACGCGAUAAGUCUACCGCCUGGGGACUACGGCCGCAAGGUUAAA
This 376-nucleotide ribosomal RNA is filed under the name uncultured bacterium. Its description in RNAcentral is "bacterial SSU rRNA". It matches the Rfam family "Bacterial small subunit ribosomal RNA", at positions 524 to 898 of the family's 1533-position model. The record is from RNAcentral.